This 468-nucleotide ribosomal RNA is filed under the name uncultured bacterium. RNAcentral describes it as "partial 16S ribosomal RNA". It matches the Rfam family "Bacterial small subunit ribosomal RNA", at positions 28 to 507 of the family's 1533-position model. The record is from RNAcentral.
GACGAACGCUGGCGGCGUGCUUAACACAUGCAAGUCGAACGGAAGGGCCCUGCUUUUGUGGGGUGCUCGAGUGGCGAACGGGUGAGUAACACGUGAGUAACCUGCCCUUGACUUUGGGAUAACUUCAGGAAACUGGGGCUAAUACCGGAUAGGAGCUCCUGCUGCAUGGUGGGGGUUGGAAAGUUUCGGCGGUUGGGGAUGGACUCGCGGCUUAUCAGCUUGUUGGUGGGGUAGUGGCUUACCAAGGCUUUGACGGGUAGCCGGCCUGAGAGGGUGACCGGCCAAAUUGGGACUGAGAUGCCGCCCAGACUCCUACGGGAGGCAGCAGUGGGGAAUAUUGCACAAUGGGCGGAAGCCUGAUGCAGCAACGCCGCGUGCGGGAUGACGGCCUUCGGGUUGUAAACCGCUUUCGCCUGUGACGAAGCGUGAGUGACGGUAAUGGGUAAAGAAGCACCGGCUAACUACGUG